UCUCUCUCUCUCUCUCUCUCUCUCUCUCUCUCUCCUACCCUCUUAACUCCCUUCCCCAUGCCCUGAGGCUGGUCCCUCACCGGGAAGGGAUGCUUUGGUAUGGGCCCACGGAGACACCCCCUUCCCCCACACCUCACCACACCUCCGUAGAACAUAUCCUCCCUCUCUUUAUCUGAUCACUCCAAGUAUCUCACAAAAAAACAGACCCUGUGGCUGCCUUUUGUUUCUUUGAGCAAAAUAUCCUCCAGGCUCAUUGAAAAAAUUUAGAUUUUCCCCUUUUAAGCUCCCUACCUGGCUUGGAAAUAGAGGUUGCUUCUCUGCAGCCCCUCAAUCUCCCAGGCAAAAUGGAAAGCUGUGUUCUGACCCAUACAAUUUCAAACCAGAGCAGUCCUACCUGUAAUUCAAGAAAACAAGGUUUCUCGAUGGAGUCCAUUACAGAAAACUACAACUCGCCAAAAUGCAGAGAAAAACUAACGGUGGGGUCCCCAA
Molecule: long non-coding RNA, 489 nt
Organism: Mastomys coucha (southern multimammate mouse)
Lineage: Eukaryota; Metazoa; Chordata; Mammalia; Rodentia; Muridae
Exons: 3
Source: RefSeq, a predicted model, not a curated record